Molecule: ribosomal RNA, 1202 nt
Filed under: Arthrobacter sp. KFC-41
Lineage: Bacteria; Bacillati; Actinomycetota; Actinomycetes; Micrococcales; Micrococcaceae
Description: bacterial SSU rRNA
Rfam family: Bacterial small subunit ribosomal RNA
Source: RNAcentral
ACCAAGGCGACGACGGGUAGCCGGCUGAGAGGGUGACCGGCCACACUGGGACUGAGACACGGCCCAGACUCCUACGGGAGGCAGCAGUGGGGAAUAUUGCACAAUGGGCGAAAGCCUGAUGCAGCGACGCCGCGUGAGGGAUGACGGCCUUCGGGUUGUAAACCUCUUUCAGUAGGGAAGAAGCGAAAGUGACGGUACCUGCAGAAGAAGCGCCGGCUAACUACGUGCCAGCAGCCGCGGUAAUACGUAGGGCGCAAGCGUUAUCCGGAAUUAUUGGGCGUAAAGAGCUCGUAGGCGGUUUGUCGCGUCUGCCGUGAAAGUCCGGGGCUCAACUCCGGAUCUGCGGUGGGUACGGGCAGACUAGAGUGAUGUAGGGGAGACUGGAAUUCCUGGUGUAGCGGUGAAAUGCGCAGAUAUCAGGAGGAACACCGAUGGCGAAGGCAGGUCUCUGGGCAUUAACUGACGCUGAGGAGCGAAAGCAUGGGGAGCGAACAGGAUUAGAUACCCUGGUAGUCCAUGCCGUAAACGUUGGGCACUAGGUGUGGGGGACAUUCCACGUUUUCCGCGCCGUAGCUAACGCAUUAAGUGCCCCGCCUGGGGAGUACGGCCGCAAGGCUAAAACUCAAAGGAAUUGACGGGGGCCCGCACAAGCGGCGGAGCAUGCGGAUUAAUUCGAUGCAACGCGAAGAACCUUACCAAGGCUUGACAUGGACUGGAAAUACCUGGAAACAGGUGCCCCGCUUGCGGUCGGUUCACAGGUGGUGCAUGGUUGUCGUCAGCUCGUGUCGUGAGAUGUUGGGUUAAGUCCCGCAACGAGCGCAACCCUCGUUCUAUGUUGCCAGCGCGUGAUGGCGGGGACUCAUAGGAGACUGCCGGGGUCAACUCGGAGGAAGGUGGGGACGACGUCAAAUCAUCAUGCCCCUUAUGUCUUGGGCUUCACGCAUGCUACAAUGGCCGGUACAAAGGGUUGCGAUACUGUGAGGUGGAGCUAAUCCCAAAAAGCCGGUCUCAGUUCGGAUUGGGGUCUGCAACUCGACCCCAUGAAGUCGGAGUCGCUAGUAAUCGCAGAUCAGCAACGCUGCGGUGAAUACGUUCCCGGGCCUUGUACACACCGCCCGUCAAGUCACGAAAGUUGGUAACACCCGAAGCCGGUGGCCUAACCCCCUUGUGGGGAGGGAGCUGUCGAAGGUGGGACUGGCGAU